AACGAACGCUGGCGGCAUGCCUAACACAUGCAAGUCGAACGAGACCUUCGGGUCUAGUGGCGCACGGGUGCGUAACGCGUGGGAACCUGCCCUUAGGUUCGGAAUAACUCCCCGAAAGGGGUGCUAAUACCGGAUAAUGUCUUCGGACCAAAGAUUUAUCGCCUUUGGAUGGGCCCGCGUUGGAUUAGCUAGUUGGUAGGGUAAAAGCCUACCAAGGCGACGAUCCAUAGCUGGUCUGAGAGGAUGAUCAGCCACACUGGGACUGAGACACGGCCCAGACUCCUCCGGGAGGCAGCAGUGGGGAAUAUUGGACAAUGGGCGAAAGCCUGAUCCAGCAAUGCCGCGUGAGUGAUGAAGGCCUUAGGGUUGUAAAGCUCUUUUACCCGGGAUGAUAGUGACAGUACCGGGAGAAUAAGCUCCGGCUAACUCCG
This 431-nucleotide ribosomal RNA is filed under the name uncultured bacterium. Its description in RNAcentral is "partial 16S ribosomal RNA". It matches the Rfam family "Bacterial small subunit ribosomal RNA", at positions 29 to 505 of the family's 1533-position model. The record is from RNAcentral.